RNAcentral lists this ribosomal RNA (301 nucleotides) under uncultured bacterium. Its description in RNAcentral is "partial 16S ribosomal RNA". It matches the Rfam family "Bacterial small subunit ribosomal RNA", at positions 509 to 807 of the family's 1533-position model. The record is from RNAcentral.
CAGUCGCCGCGGGAAUACGUAGGGUGCGAGCGUUAAUCGGAAUUACUGGGCGUAAAGCGUGCGCAGGCGGUUUUGUAAGACAGGCGUGAAAUCCCCGGGCUCAACCUGGGAAUGGCGCUUGUGACUGCAAAGCUAGAGUGCGGCAGAGGGGGAUGGAAUUCCGCGUGUAGCAGUGAAAUGCGUAGAUAUGCGGAGGAACACCGAUGGCGAAGGCAAUCCCCUGGGCCUGCACUGACGCUCAUGCACGAAAGCGUGGGGAGCAAACAGGAUUAGAGACCCCCGUAGUCCCUGUCUCUUAUAC